UACGUAGGGUGCGAGCGUUAAUCGAAAUUACUGGGCGUAAAGCGUGCGUAGACGGUUGCGUAAGUCAGAUGUGAAAGCCCCGGGCUCAACCUGGGAAUUGCAUUUGAGACUGCGUAGCUAGGGUGCGGAAGAGGGAAGCGGAAUUCCCGGUGUAGUGGUGAAAUGCGUAGGGAUCGGGAGGAACACCAGUGGCGAAGGCGGCUUGCCAGAACGCGCUCGACGGUGAGGGAUGAAAGCUGGGGGAGCAAACCGG
RNAcentral lists this ribosomal RNA (253 nucleotides) under uncultured bacterium. RNAcentral's name for it is "partial 16S ribosomal RNA". It matches the Rfam family "Bacterial small subunit ribosomal RNA", at positions 524 to 776 of the family's 1533-position model. The record is from RNAcentral.